This 500-nucleotide ribosomal RNA is filed under the name uncultured bacterium. RNAcentral describes it as "partial 16S ribosomal RNA". It matches the Rfam family "Bacterial small subunit ribosomal RNA", at positions 28 to 507 of the family's 1533-position model. The record is from RNAcentral.
GACGAACGCUGGCGGCGUGCCUAAUACAUGCCAGUCGAGCGGACUGAUUAAGAGCUUGCUCUUAUGACGUUAGCGGCGGACGAGUGAGUAACACGUGGGCAACCUGCCCUGUAGAUCGGGAUAACACCGAGAAAUCGGUGCUAAUACCGGGUAAUAUCUGAGAUCACAUGAUCUUAGGUUAAAAGAUGGCUCCGGCUAUCACUACAGGAUGGGCCCGCGGCGCAUUAGCUAGUUGGUAAGGUAAUGGCUUACCAAGGCGACGAUGCGUAGCCGACCUGAGAGGGUGAUCGGCCACACUGGGACUGAGACACGGCCCAGACUCCUACGGGAGGCAGCAGUAGGGAAUCUUCCGCAAUGGACGAAAGUCUGACGGAGCAACGCCGCGUGAGUGAUGAAGGGUUUCGGCUCGUAAAGCUCUGUUGUUAGGGAAGAAACAGUACCGAACGAACUAGGUCGGUACCUUGACGGUACCUAAACAGAAAGCCACGGCUAACUACGUG